Molecule: long non-coding RNA, 576 nt
Filed under: Echeneis naucrates (live sharksucker)
Lineage: Eukaryota; Metazoa; Chordata; Actinopteri; Carangiformes; Echeneidae
Description: lncRNA (ENSENLG00000011000.1)
Source: RNAcentral
GUUUGUCAUCAUCCUGUUUUUCUCGUUGCUGCUGAUCUGCAGCUCUCCGCCUGUCUGCUGUUCUCACACUAACUUAUCUCCUUGUGUGGCAUGCUGCUGUUUUAUUGCUGUGUGUUGGCCCUCUGCUGUCUCUGGCUCCAUGUGGGCUCCGCAGAUUAUGAAAUAUGUGUCCGAGGGAUGAUUAAGGGUUUACCACCAGGCCCUAAAGGAAUGCCUGGGCCGACAGGGCCUGCUGGUCCAUUAGGACCUGUUGGUUCAACAGGGCCUCCUGGUCCUCCGGGGCGACCAGGAAAUGUGGGCGAACCGGGCAAAAGUGGAGCAACUGGCCCCAUGGGUCCCACGGGGUUCCCUGGUGGACCGGGUAUGAAGGGGGAAGCAGGUACACCAGGAGUUCCUGGGCUGCCUUGCAAAGACGGAUUACCAGGACAGCAGGGCACUACUGGAGCUCCAGGCCAGCCUGGUUUAAAGGGGGGGCAGGGAGACAGUGGUCCUCCAGGAAAGGUGAGAUGUGCUGUAUUUCCUGCACCGCCUCUGCUGAAAAGCUUUAUCGCUUACAUUGUUGCAUGUACGCUCAGC